UGGACCAUUUAGAGAGCUCCAAGUCCCUAAUGCUUAUCCAUGGGGCAACCGAUGCCACCUUUUGCCGUACUUUUUCAUCUACUUUGAAGGAUAUAGCUAGGUAUUGGUAUACCAGUUGAAGCCCCUAACGAUUUAUUCUUUUGAUCAAAUGAGCUAGUUAUUUGUUGGCCAUUUCGUGAGUAGUCGGAGGAAGCAAAAAGGAUCAA
This 206-nucleotide long non-coding RNA is filed under the name Elaeis guineensis (African oil palm). RNAcentral's name for it is "long non-coding RNA (EGUI_LNC024701)". Lineage: Eukaryota; Viridiplantae; Streptophyta; Magnoliopsida; Arecales; Arecaceae. The record is from RNAcentral.